CGACUGCUAAUACCGCAUACGAUCUAAUCUCGGCAUCGAGGAUAGAUGAAAGGUGGCCUCUACAUGUAAGCUAUCACUGAAGGAGGGGAUUGCGUCUGAUUAGCUAGUUGGAGGGGUAACGGCCCACCAAGGCGAUGAUCAGUAGCCGGUCUGAGAGGAUGAACGGCCACAUUGGGACUGAGACACGGCCCAGACUCCUACGGGAGGCAGCAGUGGGGAAUCUUCCGCAAUGGACGAAAGUCUGACGGAGCAACGCCGCGUGAGUGAUGACGGCCUUCGGGUUGUAAAGCUCUGUUAAUCGGGACGAAAGGCCUUCUUGCGAAUAGUGAGAAGGAUUGAC
Molecule: ribosomal RNA, 340 nt
Filed under: Veillonella parvula
Lineage: Bacteria; Bacillati; Bacillota; Negativicutes; Veillonellales; Veillonellaceae
Description: bacterial SSU rRNA
Rfam family: Bacterial small subunit ribosomal RNA
Source: RNAcentral